AUUGAACGCUGGCGGCACGCCUAACACAUCCAAGUCGAGCGGAUGAAGGGAGCUUGCUCCUGGAUUCAGCGGCGGACGGGUGAGUAAUGCCUAGGAAUCUGCCUGGUAGUGGGGGAUAACGUCCGGAAACGGGCGCUAAUACCGCAUACGUCCUGAGGGAGAAAGUGGGGGAUCUUCGGACCUCACGCUAUCAGAUGAGCCUAGGUCGGAUUAGCUAGUUGGUGGGGUAAAGGCCUACCAAGGCGACGAUCCGUAACUGGUCUGAGAGGAUGAUCAGUCACACUGGAACUGAGACACGGUCCAGACUCCUACGGGAGGCAGCAGUGGGGAAUAUUAGACGAUGGGCGAAAGCCUGAUCCAGCCAUGCCGCGUGUGUGAAGAAGGUCUUCGGAUUGUAAAGCACUUUAAGUUGGGAGGAAGGGCAGUAAGUUAAUACCUUGCUGUUUUGACGUUACCAACAGAAUAAGCACCGGCUAACUUCGUG
This 484-nucleotide ribosomal RNA is filed under the name uncultured bacterium. Its description in RNAcentral is "partial 16S ribosomal RNA". It matches the Rfam family "Bacterial small subunit ribosomal RNA", at positions 30 to 507 of the family's 1533-position model. The record is from RNAcentral.